AACAGGAUUAGAUACCCUGGUAGUCCACGCUGUAAACGAUGGAUACUAGGUGUGCGGGGACUGACCCCCUGCGUGCCGCAGUUAACACAAUAAGUAUCCCACCUGGGGAGUACGAUCGCAAGGUUGAAACUCAAAGGAAUUGACGGGGGCCCGCACAAGCGGUGGAUUAUGUGGUUUAAUUCGAAGCAACGCGAAGAACCUUACCAGGUCUUGACAUCCUGCUAACGAAGUAGAGAUACAUUAGGUGCCCUUCGGGGAAAGCAGAGACAGGUGGUGCAUGGUUGUCGUCAGCUCGUGUCGUGAGAUGUUGGGUUAAGUCCCGCAACGAGCGCAACCCCUAUUGUUAGUUGCUACGCAAGAGCACUCUAGCGAGACUGCCGUUGACAAAACGGAGGAAGGUGGGGACGACGUCAAAUCAUCAUGCCCCUUAUGACCUGGGCUACACACGUAAUACAAUGGCGGUCAACAAAGGGAUGCAAAGCCGCGAGGCAGAGCGAACCCCAAAAAGCCGUCCCAGUUCGGAUCGCAGGCUGCAACCCGCCUGCGUGAAGUCGGAAUCGCUAGUAAUCGUGGGUCAGCAUACCACGGUGAAUACGUUCCCGGGCCUUGUACACACCGCCCGUCACACCAUGAGAGUCGGGAACACCCGAAGUCCGUAGCCUAACCGCAAGGAGGGCGCGGCCGAAGGUGGGUUCGAUAAUUGGGGUGAAGUCGUAACAAGGUAGCCGUUCGAGAACGAGCGGCUG
RNAcentral lists this ribosomal RNA (746 nucleotides) under gut metagenome. RNAcentral describes it as "bacterial SSU rRNA". It matches the Rfam family "Bacterial small subunit ribosomal RNA", at positions 771 to 1520 of the family's 1533-position model. The record is from RNAcentral.